UGCGUAGGCGGAAUAUUAAGUCAGUGGUGAAAUCCCAGAGCUCAACUCUGGAACUGCCAUUGAAACUGGUAUUCUUGAAUAUAGUUGAGGUAGGCGGAAUGUGUAAUGUAGCGGUGAAAUGCUUAGAUAUUACACAGAACACCGAUUGCGAAGGCAGCUUACUAAGCUAUGAUUGACGCUGAGGUACGAAAGCGUGGGGAGCGAACAGGAUUAGAUACCCUGGUAGUCC
Molecule: ribosomal RNA, 229 nt
Filed under: uncultured bacterium
Lineage: Bacteria
Description: partial 16S ribosomal RNA
Rfam family: Bacterial small subunit ribosomal RNA
Source: RNAcentral